Molecule: long non-coding RNA, 3629 nt
Organism: Pseudoliparis swirei
Lineage: Eukaryota; Metazoa; Chordata; Actinopteri; Perciformes; Liparidae
Exons: 2
Source: RefSeq, a predicted model, not a curated record
AUAAAUAUGUGGGGGUGUAUAAACAUACACACAGAGUGUAUCCUCUCAUUCUGAGGAGGUGAAGUUGCUCCUUAGAUAACUGAAGGAAGUGAAUGAAUAAACGUUGUGUAGAGGGUGUGUGAGGUCAGGACACAAUAAACUGACCUCAGACGGCCUGCUGAGUUGGGCCAUUGUCCUCAACACACACUCAUACACACACACACCCUCCCCACUCGUCUGGCACGAUGACAACUCGAUUGCCUGAUCCCACAUUACAACAGUCAACAUUAAUGUGAAGAAGAGGAGCCCGAGAAGAUGAAGAGUGUUUGUGUGAAUGCUUCAGCUCCUCUGAGUCUCAUUGGCUCGUUCUCUUUCCAAAGCUUCUGGGUUGAACUGGCAUCACUUACACUUUAUAUAUUUUAAAUAUUGUUUUUCUUUUAUGGAACUGAAGCAAAUUAUCAAUUUCCUUCAGGCUUUGGAAACAUCUGUGGAGUCAAACAUCAUGUGGGUGAUGAAGACGCUGGGCGGGGCGAGAGAGUUCACAACCACACACUGAAGGACUCCACUGUGUGCGUACCUCCACAUAUCUGACCCUCACAGACUCUACAUGUGAGAUAAAUAUGCAGAUUUCAUGCAUUAUUUAUGUUAUCAACAUUGGAUGUGUUGUGUUUAACAUGUAUGAUGAGGAAGAAGAGCAAAUAUAGGAUUGACCAAAGAUUCCAGUCAUAAAACUCACUUAUUCUGCACAUAUAAAGACUUCUUUGGUUUAACUAGUGGGUGCUAAAACAUAAAUAAAGAAGGAAAAAGUACGGGAGGGAGCUUUUUAAUGUUUGUAUCAGAAUGUUCGGCUUGUGAAAAAAGUGUCCUACAGUUAUUUUUGGUCAAUAUGGAGCAGUUUGUGUUCACGUUUCUCCUAUUGGAGGACCUUUCCCAAAAGGGGGCGGGGCAGUGCUUCUCCCAUUGGAGGACCUUUCCCAAAAGGGGACUCUGAGUUAUGAAACACUUCUUCUUCUAUAAAGAUGUUAUUGAUGUCAAACUAACUGAACCUCUGUUUCUUUUCUUCUUCUUUUCUUCCAGUCUGGCGACUGAGCCGAAGAUCAGAUUUAGCUAAUUCAGAAAAAACGGAUUUAUUGAAACUUGACGGACGGUGUAGAUCGGGAUAUCGAUAUAAAGGUGCUUUAGCAUUUCUAUUCACUUUUCUUGAAGUCAAGCAGUAGUUUGAAUGAUUUUUCUUUAUGUUUGCUGCCUUAAAUAAGGUCUGUGGUUUAAGACUGAUGAGAUUUUAACGUCCAUCACAUAAAACAUGUCAAAAUACCCCCCAGGUGAAUUGUGAAGCUUUUACAUGUCUUAAGAGGUUAAAUGAGUCAGAAGGGGGCGGGGCAGUGCUUCUCCUAUUGGAGGACCUUUCUCAAAAGGGGGCGGGGCAGUGUCGAAACCCACGUGACCCAAAAACUGUAAAGCGAGCCCUUGGUGUCUCAAGUCUGAACCCUCUCUGGAACCGCCCUUGCAAAGAUGCACCGCGUUGUUCUUGUAAACCAAUCAGAGCAGACUGGGCUCCGGGAGGGAGGGGCCUUAAAGAGACAGGCGCUGAAACGGAAGAUGAAGGUACGUAUAUAUUCAGACGGAGAGGACAAGAAGAGUUUUUUCAUUUACUUUAAUGGUAAAAAACUCAAAAUCUUUCUUGUGCUGUCUGUCUAGAAUGUAUUAGAAACCCAAAAAUCAAGCAUUGACCAGGAAAUGAGCAUGAUGUGUCCCUUUUAAAGCAAAAGCUGUAUACGUGGUGAGGGUGUCAGGGUGUACAUGCCAGCUAACUUAUUGUAUUCAAUCUAUAAUAGUUGAGCAGCUUGGAACUAUGUGGGUGAGGGGGGUCUUAGAUACUUAAAUAUCUAACCCCCCCCCCCCCCACACACACACACACACACCUCAGUCCCUUGACCGCUGGCCUGGGCGGUCGGCUUUGAGCAUCGGUUCACUUCGGGUGAAGCUAUUUCAACUGUUCAAAGACUCUUUUUGCACGGCCUCCCUUGUGGCUGCUGCAGAACGGCCUCCCGCUCUAUUUUCGGGGAUUUAAAGGAGAAAUAGAUAUGUUUCGCUCGACUCUCCAGAAAAUGCGCUGCGCGGGACUGAGGAUGACUCCAUCCCCAGUUCUGCAUUAUAUAAGAACUAAAAAGUGAAGAUGAAAAAGGUGAACCAUAAAAGGAAUCCUCCCAUGAGACCCAUGAGACUCUGUGCUGGGGGGGGGGGGGGGGGGGGCUGUGCUUGGAACCAAUUACUCAAUAUUUUUGCUUAUGAAAAUCGUAAAUAAAUGAAGAUUACUUGCGAUCAAAAUUAGAAGAGGACAACAACAAAAAACCAGGCAUAUUUCCUGUAACAGGACCCUGUGUUACUGUAAACGGUGUUUCCUUAGACAAGCCAAUCAAGAGCCCAAAUUAGAGCCCCGUUCUAUUUUAAUUGGAGGCGUCUGUGAAUGUUUCAUGAUCGUGUUUUAAUAUUUAGACAUAAAUUCUUUCGCAGAGCCGCCGGACUUUCCUGCAGGUCAUUAGGCCUCUGCUUCGCUCCACGGGGAUUUGGAGAAGGAGAUACGUCUGGCGACUGAGCCGAAGAUCAGAUUUAGCUGAUUCUGAAAAAACGGAUUUAUGGAAACUUGACGGACGGUGUAGAUCGGGAUAUCGAUAUAAAGUUGCUUUAGCAUUUCUAUUCAAUUUUCUUGAAGUCAAGCAGUAGUUUGAAUGAUUUUUCUUUAUGUUUGCUGCCUUAAAUAAGGUCUGUGGUUUAAGAUGAGAUUUUAACGUCCAUCACAUAAAACAUGUCAAAAUACCCCCCGGGUGAAUUGUGAAGCUUUUACAUGUCUUAUAGGUGAAAUGAGUCAGAACACCAAACACUACUCCUCCGCCUUUAGCUUCGUGGUGGUGACAUGAAGCCAUGGGACCACGGUUUUGUUCUUUUACAGCCUAAAAUUGAUUAUCAUCAACUUGUGUUCGUCGCGGAGUUUAUUUGCCACAAUAAUCCAAAAUCCAAUAAAAAAAUGCCAAUGACACACAGGGUCGGCCUCAAAAAAUGCGUUGCCCGCUGGAGGCCUCUAUUGCCUCAACACGGCUCUCAGCUAGCAGCUGACGGAGCUAGCAGCUGAUGGAGCUAGUCGCUAAUAUAGCUAGCAGCUAACGGAGCUGGCAGCUAAUGGAGCAAGUAGCUGACGGAGCUAACCGCUAAUAUAGCUAGCUGCUAACGGAGUUAGCAGCUAACGGAGUUAGCAGCCAACAGAGCUUGCAGCGCUAACAGUGCAAAUAACAGCAACAGUACCGACGGAGCUAACCGUUUUGACCUAAGGAAGAACGGGGUGGGCGGGGCACUGAUAUCAAAUACGUAGAUACAGUUAUUAAACUGUUAAACUGUCCAAAGCACACCCUGUCCAAACUCUUCCCUUUGGUAUUCAUCAAAUUGUGAAUUAACCAAUUCCUCAGGAACAUUAUGCAACAUUGUGAAAUAAUGGUCCUGCCAUGUACCGUUGGUGAACUCUGCUCCUGGCAGCAGGAAGUACGAGGUCAUAAAGCGCUCGGCAGUUUCCAUGGCUGACUCAACAUUUGCGCAGCGCGACUCUCGUGACCUUCAGUCCAGGAAGUGGUAAUCCUAAUAAAAGCUUAAUUAACUGA